UGGCUCAAUGUAGCUCAGGGGCAGAGCACAUGCUUGGCAUACAGAAGGUCCCAGGUUCAAUCCCUGACUUCCCAA
Molecule: non-coding RNA, 75 nt
Organism: Podarcis lilfordi (Lilford's wall lizard)
Lineage: Eukaryota; Metazoa; Chordata; Lepidosauria; Squamata; Lacertidae
Source: the annotation of a GenBank genome assembly